This 79-nucleotide transfer RNA is filed under the name Pseudomonas phage UAVern. RNAcentral describes it as "tRNA-Met". It matches the Rfam family "tRNA". From Rfam's summary of the family: Transfer RNA (tRNA) molecules are approximately 80 nucleotides in length. The record is from RNAcentral. Lineage: Duplodnaviria; Heunggongvirae; Uroviricota; Caudoviricetes; Vandenendeviridae.
UGCGAGGGUAGUCGUCUGGUAGAUGACGCCGGCCUCAUAAGCCGCGCUCUUAGAGGUUCGAUUCCUCCCUUCGCAACCA